Molecule: small nuclear RNA, 194 nt
Filed under: Esox lucius (northern pike)
Lineage: Eukaryota; Metazoa; Chordata; Actinopteri; Esociformes; Esocidae
Description: U2 spliceosomal RNA
Rfam family: U2 spliceosomal RNA
About the family: U2 is a small nuclear RNA (snRNA) component of the spliceosome (involved in pre-mRNA splicing). Complementary binding between U2 snRNA (in an area lying towards the 5' end but 3' to hairpin I) and the branchpoint sequence (BPS) of the intron results the bulging out of an unpaired adenosine, on the BPS, which initiates a nucleophilic attack at the intronic 5' splice site, thus starting the first of two transesterification reactions that mediate splicing.
Source: Rfam by way of RNAcentral
AUCGCUUCUCGGCCUUUUGGCUAAGAUCAAGUGUAGUAUCUGUUCUUAUCAGUUUAAUAUCUGAUACGUCCCCCAUCGGGGGACUAUACAUAUUAAAUGGAUUUUUCGAACAGGGAGUCGGAAGCGGGGCUUGCUCCGGUCCGCUCCAAGCAUCGACUCGGUAUUGCAGUACCUCCGAGAACGGUGCACCCUCU